UUUACAAUUCAUAUUUUAUCAACUUUAUAUUGAAUAUUUGGAGACACGACACUACUACAAAAUAUCUUUUAUAGGUCACCUUUUUAAGAACACUAGAUGUAAGCUCUUAAAAAUAUAUCUGGAGUUGUUCUUUAAAAAUAUAUAUUUUAAGACUCGUAAGGAUCUAAUAAAAUGUAGAUCCUAAAAAACUCUAAAGAGGGAAUUUGAUUUGGAAUUCUAUAGGUAACUUUUAAAACUCAAUUUGGUUUCCUAAAAGACCAUUAAGAGAUCUCAAAGUGUGCCGUUAAAAAUAUUAGGGAUUUCGAAUUGGGGCUUUAAUUAGGGUUCAUUAUUUUUCUAUCAGCACCAAAACUAAAGACAGGAAAAACGAAGGAGAAGAUGAGCCAUCGACGUCGACGACGACAGUUGGCUCUCCGACCUUUAGUGGCUACUGUAGAUGGUGGUGAAGGAGACCAUCUACUUCGACGGCGGCAUGCUGUUGACAGUGGUGACGUUGACGGCUGGUGAAGGCAGGCUGUUGUUGCAGAGGAGAAAGCGCGUGGUUGGUUCCUUGGGUUCUCAGCUUCACGGUGGUGGCGCUGUAGCUCACGGCGGCAACAGCGAAUGUCUACCAUCAAGAUUUGAAACCGAAGAAUAUAAUAGCAAAUGCAAAUUGUAAGCUUAAAAUAUGUGAUUUUGGGCUAGCAAGAGUUGCAUUCAAUGAUACACCGACUACAAUAUUCUGGACGGACUAUGUUGCAACAAGAUGGUACAGAGCUUCAGAGCUUUGUGGGUCGUUUUUCUCUAAGGUAUAGCUUUGUAUUGAGUUUUUUAUGUUAAAAAGUUUAGGAGAUAGUAUGAAUUUGGCUUAGGACCCUAGCAGCUAAUUGUUCUGGAGACUUUUGCUUAUUACAAUGCACAAGUGUCCUUUGGCCCGGGUACCGUAUGUAUGUAAAAAGAAUUCAUGGUUUGACCUUGGCCAUCACACAUUUGGCUUUCAUUUUCUGUCCCUAUUCUGUAUCCUUUAGUUGGCAAGCUAGUCUCAAAAACCAUCAAUUAUUUGUAAUAGCUCACCUUUAUUGUACUGCUCUUGCUGUUUCUAAUAAAGUGAGUGAAGUAUACCUCAAUUUUUUAAGAGUGCCAGUAUGUUUCAGCAAGUCAGAGCGUAAUAGGCCAUAUGAAUUCUGUUUUUGACUUGUACUAAAUUAGAAGAACCACAAGAGUUAUAUCUCUUA
Humulus lupulus (European hop) is the source of this 1214-nucleotide long non-coding RNA. RefSeq lists it as uncharacterized. The transcript is spliced from 3 exons. NCBI's taxonomy places the organism in Eukaryota, Viridiplantae, Streptophyta, Magnoliopsida, Rosales, Cannabaceae. The record is from RefSeq and is a predicted model, not a curated record.